CCGCGGUAAUACGUAGGGUGCAAGCGUUGUCCGGAAUUACUGGGCGUAAAGAGCUCGUAGGCGGUUUGUCGCGUCGUCUGUGAAAACUCGAGGCUCAACCUCGAGCUUGCAGGCGAUACGGGCAGACUUGAGUACUGCAGGGGAGACUGGAAUUCCUGGUGUAGCGGUGAAAUGCGCAGAUAUCAGGAGGAACACCGGUGGCGAAGGCGGGUCUCUGGGCAGUAACUGACGCUGAGGAGCGAAAGCGUGGGUAGCGAACAGGAUUAGAUACCCUGGUAGUCCACGCCGUAAACGGUGGGCGCUAGGUGUGGGUUUCCUUCCACGGGAUCCGUGCCGUAGCUAACGCAUUAAGC
This 353-nucleotide ribosomal RNA is filed under the name Escherichia coli. RNAcentral describes it as "bacterial SSU rRNA". It matches the Rfam family "Bacterial small subunit ribosomal RNA", at positions 515 to 865 of the family's 1533-position model. Lineage: Bacteria; Pseudomonadati; Pseudomonadota; Gammaproteobacteria; Enterobacterales; Enterobacteriaceae. The record is from RNAcentral.